Triticum aestivum (bread wheat) is the source of this 1889-nucleotide long non-coding RNA. RefSeq lists it as uncharacterized. The transcript has 3 exons. NCBI's taxonomy places the organism in Eukaryota, Viridiplantae, Streptophyta, Magnoliopsida, Poales, Poaceae. The record is from RefSeq and is a predicted model, not a curated record.
UUUACCCAGACACAUGCCCACGUGAGAUUUACUUUUGCAUCAAGUUGUAGGACAUCUGUUUGAUACAAUGCCCACAAGAAAUAUUCAUGCGUAACGAACGGUGCAGCCCCAUCUCUCUCUCUCUCUCUCUACUUGCAAGUUUGUGCGAGCCACCUAUUUGUUAGUAUGUUUCUCAAGGUUUAAAAAUAUUUUGUCAGAUUUCUCACACAUUGUAUGAGGACUAGAGUGAAUAAUUUUAGAAGAGUAGAAUCACAGAUCUGAGAGGCCAAUUCAUGUAGACGCAAUGAGCUAUUGAACAUUGCUAAUGAUGGUGCUACAGUUUUUCAGAAUAAAGCAGACACUACAGGAACAAUAUAGUAGUGGUCAAACUUUGGGUUGAGGGUCUGAUAAUGGACGUAAGACAGCUGUUGGAGAGGAGAUUAAAAUAUGGAAGAUAGCAGCAGACGAGGUAGCUGAAGCUGGUAGAUCAAUUGAGCAAGAGCCCCAGAUCCAGGUGUGUUUAUAAUGAGCUGUUUGUAAGACCAGUGCUACAUGGUUCCACUUGGAGUCUCUGUAGUUAUUUGGCUGAUGGUGUGCAUGAGUUUGAGCUAUUUAUUAUUGUGUAGUUUUGACUUUAGAACCAUGGAAGUUGUCCCUCUUUUAUAAAUAACUUCAUGUGGAAAAGUAUUCUUUUCGAGGGAAACAAGGUCAAGAAUUGGCAUUAGUGGUUGGCAGUGAUGAUAAGUUCGCAUUUUAUACCAGCUAGCAAGACUUCACAGAAAUUUGUUAGAGGAAUUGCAAUAUCUUUAUCAAACAUUAUUUUUCUCAUUCCUUUUUGGUCUUAGACAAGAAUAAUAGAGAAUCUCAAUGCUUCUACUGUUGCAGUACCUGUAGUAGAGCAACCGCUACCUCAAAACUUCAGAGAAGAUGGGCAUGAAUGCCUGUUUUGGUUGCUGGUUACUCCAACAACAAGUGCAUCAUAUCUUUAUGUAUCCCGUAGCUUAUGCAGCCCAUAAUUAGUUUCCUGACAGAUUGAUGAUUGGGAGAAGUAGCUAGAAUGCCCCUGAAUACAGAUUGACGAUUGGGAGUUUUUUGAAGGUUAGAAUUCCAGUUUCUUAGUAUCUUCAUUGUCCAACAAACUAUAAAAGGUCAUAUGUUUUGGCGGUGUGCCCAUUUGUGUGUGCACGUGCGUAAAUGAUCCUUGGACAGUUCCCUUUUUUGGAUCUCUAAAGCACCUUGCGCUAGCAAUCCAACCUACAAUGUCAGUUUUUGUAUGAACAAUGCUCAAAAGAAAAUAUUUUGAAUAUUUCCCUAACAUUUUGGUGAAUCUGCACCUGAAAGUUUUAAUUUUUGCAGGAAACAAUGCAGAGAAACAAGAGUAACAAUUACGUAGUAGUAGAUCAUACAAAGGACUGGUAGCGAUUCAUCAGUCAUGGUCCAAGAACGACGGAGAAAUUAAAAUGAAGCACGACAUUUCUGCAUAAUAGCAGAAGCAGAGCAAGAGAAGAAAGUUCAUUAGCAGCUCAACAACGACGCCUGCUAAGAGAGGAUCAACACGUGCAUCAUGUUGCCAUUUCGGAAGCCCCAUAUCCUCGAGCUUGACAGGCUCAUCUACCAUCCUGGCCGACGUCCUCGCCAUCUUCCCCGGGCCUCACAACCACCUCUUCAGCUGCUGCUGGAGCAGAGCACAUCGGCAGACCAAGAUGAGGAUAGCCCAUACCGCACCCAAGGUUUUUAGUAGAUGAAGGACAAAAGUCUGUGCACAAAAGACCAUUCUUGAUGGAUUCAAGAGAAUCAAGAGUGAAGCAUGAAGAUACGAUAAAUAUGGCGAUUACAAAUAUGCCUACCGAGACAUGGGUUGUUUCAUAUAUCUUUGGUUGAUUUGGAUCUGCUCACAAAGAAAAAGGAUG